Long non-coding RNA from Astatotilapia calliptera (eastern happy), 1531 nucleotides. NCBI's taxonomy places the organism in Eukaryota, Metazoa, Chordata, Actinopteri, Cichliformes, Cichlidae. The record is from Ensembl.
UUUUGUCAUGGUCAGCACAUCCCAUGUUGUCUUCAACCUGCUAAAGGGACUUUAGGUAACAAACAAACAAAAGCACUGUCACAGUGAAAAAAAAAAAAUUUUAUUUAAAAAAAAAAAAAAAAAAAAAAUGGCAAGUUCAAAAAUCAAACCAGGAUGAAAGUUUAAAAACUGAAGGGAUUUCUUCUCUAUGAAGGAAAAAAACAAAAAGCCCUGCAUCAUGGCACAAACACUUACGGAGAGGUUGAUGCGCACAAUAAACAGACAAAUUCAUGGACAUGGUUACAAAACUGACCCCAUUUUUGACUUGAUAUAUUAAAUGACCUUCAGAUGAAAUAAUUUAAAAAUUAGCAGCAAUAAGCCACAAUUCAUUUCUUUGUCUUCAAUAUAUUUGGAUUAAAAUCGUGGAAUGGUAAACACACAACAGUGAAUCAGCAUUUAAACAUUUCUUUGCUUCAUAGAUCUAGUAUCUCAAGGAGUUUAAAAAAAGAAAAACUUCAACAGUUUGCAGUGCAUGAAAACAAUUCCAGUCAGAGAUAAAGCCCAACACAGCUGAGUAGCACUUCACACUCCCUUCCAGUGAAAUCUAAGGCAUUUCUGUGAGGUUUAUUUGUCACCUGGAAAUAAAAGGUUUUGUAGUUAAAGAGGAAAACAAGUAACAGCUAAGAAAGAACGAGAUGGGACGAUAUUUAUCCAAACCGUAAAAGUGGAAAAUGAGCGGAAUGAUGAAAACAAUGCUAUGGUGCCUGUGUUUAAACUAAACUAAACAAAAAGUGGCAAUGUGCCUUCAAAACAUGGAGAGAGAAAAAAAAAUCUGCCAUAUUUAUUUAUUUUAGGAGUUCUUACUUUUCCUACAGUCAUAUUAAAACAACCGCGUUUUGGUAUGAAAAAGUUCCCUUUUGAUGUUGCAAUUCUGCUUGCAAUUAAUGAACCAUAGACAAAUGUGUCACAAAAACCAAAACAAAUUAUUUAAAAUGAAAAGAGAAAAGCCACGUCAGCCAGAAUAUAAAGUCACUGUGAGGUGAUCCACUGUCGCAACACGAGGUGUCUCUUGGAUAUUCGUAGUAUUGCAUUUAUAAGGACAAUAAAUUAAUUGCAUAGAUCAACAGACCUUGGGGCAUGUUUUCCAAACAUUGGACGGAAGAGUUAAAGGAUGUGGACACAGUACCAGCUGUGAUCAGCCAUGAGACCUACUGUAGUUGGCUAUUGCCUGUGAACAUUGAACACAAACUGAAUCUACAUUGCUCUGGCAGGAUGAGGUAAGUCAAGGUUUUCAACAUAAAUUGCUCUUACACCGACUGCAUGCGGUGCAACUCUGUAACAAUGCAUCUGAACCUAGCAUACAUGCUUCAUCCAUCAUGAGAAGUUAUGUCUAAAAGUGCCAACACUGGUGACACUGACAGAACUGAAAUAUUAAAGCCUCUUUGACAUCAACACUGAAACCACAACAAAGCAAGUACGCAAAACACAAAGAAAAAAGUGAAAACCUCUAUUUCUCACUAUGAAGCACACAACACACUAUCAAAAAUAAAAA